CAGACUUAAUAGAUGUUGUGUUUUGAAAACCCAGUGACAUAUAUCAGAUACAAAGGAAAGACCAGGUUUGAUUCCUGUGAUCCAUAGAGAGGCCAUUAGGGAAGACCGGGUUUGAUUCCUGUGACCCUGUGGUAGCCAAGUUAACUUAUGAUAUGCUGACCUUUAUAGAGUGGGUUCUAUGCUGCAGAGCGCAUAGUGCAUGGAGGUUACUUGGUAGAGCAUCACUGGUUAGCCCCUGAGGGGUAGUUCAGACUAGUAUAUCUGAGCAUUGGUU
Molecule: long non-coding RNA, 274 nt
Filed under: Manihot esculenta (cassava)
Lineage: Eukaryota; Viridiplantae; Streptophyta; Magnoliopsida; Malpighiales; Euphorbiaceae
Description: long non-coding RNA (MESC_LNC011737)
Source: RNAcentral